This 2537-nucleotide ribosomal RNA is filed under the name Shigella flexneri. RNAcentral's name for it is "partial 23S ribosomal RNA". It matches the Rfam family "Bacterial large subunit ribosomal RNA", at positions 408 to 2925 of the family's 2925-position model. Lineage: Bacteria; Pseudomonadati; Pseudomonadota; Gammaproteobacteria; Enterobacterales; Enterobacteriaceae. The record is from RNAcentral.
AUGAGUAGGGCGGGACACGUGGUAUCCUGUCUGAAUAUGGGGGGACCAUCCUCCAAGGCUAAAUACUCCUGACUGACCGAUAGUGAACCAGUACCGUGAGGGAAAGGCGAAAAGAACCCCGGCGAGGGGAGUGAAAAAGAACCUGAAACCGUGUACGUACAAGCAGUGGGAGCACGCUUAGGCGUGUGACUGCGUACCUUUUGUAUAAUGGGUCAGCGACUUAUAUUCUGUAGCAAGGUUAACCGAAUAGGGGAGCCGAAGGGAAACCGAGUCUUAACUGGGCGUUAAGUUGCAGGGUAUAGACCCGAAACCCGGUGAUCUAGCCAUGGGCAGGUUGAAGGUUGGGUAACACUAACUGGAGGACCGAACCGACUAAUGUUGAAAAAUUAGCGGAUGACUUGUGGCUGGGGGUGAAAGGCCAAUCAAACCGGGAGAUAGCUGGUUCUCCCCGAAAGCUAUUUAGGUAGCGCCUCGUGAAUUCAUCUCCGGGGGUAGAGCACUGUUUCGGCAAGGGGGUCAUCCCGACUUACCAACCCGAUGCAAACUGCGAAUACCGGAGAAUGUUAUCACGGGAGACACACGGCGGGUGCUAACGUCCGUCGUGAAGAGGGAAACAACCCAGACCGCCAGCUAAGGUCCCAAAGUCAUGGUUAAGUGGGAAACGAUGUGGGAAGGCCCAGACAGCCAGGAUGUUGGCUUAGAAGCAGCCAUCAUUUAAAGAAAGCGUAAUAGCUCACUGGUCGAGUCGGCCUGCGCGGAAGAUGUAACGGGGCUAAACCAUGCACCGAAGCUGCGGCAGCGACGCUUAUGCGUUGUUGGGUAGGGGAGCGUUCUGUAAGCCUGUGAAGGUGUGCUGUGAGGUAUGCUGGAGGUAUCAGAAGUGCGAAUGCUGACAUAAGUAACGAUAAAGCGGGUGAAAAGCCCGCUCGCCGGAAGACCAAGGGUUCCUGUCCAACGUUAAUCGGGGCAGGGUGAGUCGACCCCUAAGGCGAGGCCGAAAGGCGUAGUCGAUGGGAAACAGGUUAAUAUUCCUGUACUUGGUGUUACUGCGAAGGGGGGACGGAGAAGGCUAUGUUGGCCGGGCGACGGUUGUCCCGGUUUAAGCGUGUAGGCUGGUUUUCCAGGCAAAUCCGGAAAAUCAAGGCCGAGGCGUGAUGACGAGGCACUACGGUGCUGAAGCAACAAAUGCCCUGCUUCCAGGAAAAGCCUCUAAGCAUCAGGUAACAUCAAAUCGUACCCCAAACCGACACAGGUGGUCAGGUAGAGAAUACCAAGGCGCUUGAGAGAACUCGGGUGAAGGAACUAGGCAAAAUGGUGCCGUAACUUCGGGAGAAGGCACGCUGAUACGUAGGUGAAGCGACUUGCUCGUGGAGCUGAAAUCAGUCGAAGAUACCAGCUGGCUGCAACUGUUUAUUAAAAACACAGCACUGUGCAAACACGAAAGUGGACGUAUACGGUGUGACGCCUGCCCGGUGCCGGAAGGUUAAUUGAUGGGGUUAGCGCAAGCGAAGCUCUUGAUCGAAGCCCCGGUAAACGGCGGCCGUAACUAUAACGGUCCUAAGGUAGCGAAAUUCCUUGUCGGGUAAGUUCCGACCUGCACGAAUGGCGUAAUGAUGGCCAGGCUGUCUCCACCCGAGACUCAGUGAAAUUGAACUCGCUGUGAAGAUGCAGUGUACCCGCGGCAAGACGGAAAGACCCCGUGAACCUUUACUAUAGCUUGACACUGAACAUUGAGCCUUGAUGUGUAGGAUAGGUGGGAGGCUUUGAAGUGUGGACGCCAGUCUGCAUGGAGCCGACCUUGAAAUACCACCCUUUAAUGUUUGAUGUUCUAACGUGGACCCGUGAUCCGGGUUGCGGACAGUGUCUGGUGGGUAGUUUGACUGGGGCGGUCUCCUCCUAAAGAGUAACGGAGGAGCACGAAGGUUGGCUAAUCCUGGUCGGACAUCAGGAGGUUAGUGCAAUGGCAUAAGCCAGCUUGACUGCGAGCGUGACGGCGCGAGCAGGUGCGAAAGCAGGUCAUAGUGAUCCGGUGGUUCUGAAUGGAAGGGCCAUCGCUCAACGGAUAAAAGGUACUCCGGGGAUAACAGGCUGAUACCGCCCAAGAGUUCAUAUCGACGGCGGUGUUUGGCACCUCGAUGUCGGCUCAUCACAUCCUGGGGCUGAAGUAGGUCCCAAGGGUAUGGCUGUUCGCCAUUUAAAGUGGUACGCGAGCUGGGUUUAGAACGUCGUGAGACAGUUCGGUCCCUAUCUGCCGUGGGCGCUGGAGAACUGAGGGGGGCUGCUCCUAGUACGAGAGGACCGGAGUGGACGCAUCACUGGUGUUCGGGUUGUCAUGCCAAUGGCACUGCCCGGUAGCUAAAUGCGGAAGAGAUAAGUGCUGAAAGCAUCUAAGCACGAAACUUGCCCCGAGAUGAGUUCUCCCUGACCCUUUAAGGGUCCUGAAGGAACGUUGAAGACGACGACGUUGAUAGGCCGGGUGUGUAAGCGCAGCGAUGCGUUGAGCUAACCGGUACUAAUGAACCGUGAGGCUUAACCUU